Non-coding RNA from Pelobates cultripes (western spadefoot toad), 462 nucleotides. Lineage: Eukaryota; Metazoa; Chordata; Amphibia; Anura; Pelobatidae. The record is from the annotation of a GenBank genome assembly.
UGGGAAUUCAAAGCAAAUUUCUAGGUUAGUUCAAAAUAGCUCAAUUUGAAAAAUUUGUCAUGUUAAUUCUGUUUGGCUACUUUGGUCUAGAAUUUGAAAUUCCCUUGUAUUCCCAGCAUUUCUGAAAUUAGGGAAUAAUUCCGAUUGUUACGUAAAGGUCUCCAUCGAUGGUUUUGCUGCCUUCCUCUACACAUCACAUCUUCAGUUACCGGUUGUCUUACUGGUAUAUUCACAAUGCAAGUGUGCGAGAACAAAAUGGGGCAAUUUUAAGAUCUUGUGGCACGUGGACAACAAAAUAGGAAUCUACUUUGCUCGUCAGCCAAUUUCAGUGACUGGUAAUGUGAUAAGAAUAGCACGCCAUGUUUUUAUGGAAAUUCUGCAUAUCUUAAAGUUGUUUCCCAAGACUUUUAAUAUUAUGGUUACUUAUCCCUAUACGUAACAAAAUAUGUCAUCUGUGAGCUG